Long non-coding RNA from Anguilla anguilla (European eel), 576 nucleotides. RefSeq lists it as uncharacterized. The transcript has 2 exons. Lineage: Eukaryota; Metazoa; Chordata; Actinopteri; Anguilliformes; Anguillidae. The record is from RefSeq and is a predicted model, not a curated record.
UUCAACACCGGUUGCUUUUUACCACAUUUACGUUAGUAGGGCAGAGCAGGGCAAAACGUAACACAGAUUUUAUUUUUUUGGUUAGGUAGUGCAGCUUGAGUGACGUAUUUCAGGAUAAACACUCAGAAUGACCCUUGCUUUCUCUCCAACGAAAGAGCAAUCAGCUCCACCUGCAGGAUUAAGACAUGCACGCAGACUCACAGAGCAAGGGAACAUAACAGGAUCGAAAAGGGAAGACAUUCAACGGGAACUGCAGAAUAAUGCUGGGAUAACUUCAGAAGGGAAAAGAACAGGACCACAUAGAAGAGUUUAUGAUAAACUUUACUUUGGAGCUUAAAGAACUGUGGCAUACAUACAGCACGGCUGCACUCAAUCUCCUGAACAAGCUACCUCACUACCUCACUGACGUCUUACAUUGGUUGGUAUAUCCUGUUUCGAAAAGCCUAGGGCUCCACCUAGUGGAUAACCUGACUACACUACAAAUGUACAGUAUCGUGAUAAGUUUUCACCAGUUGGCAAUAGGCUAUGAAAAACAUUUAAAUGUAAUCAAUAGAUAGAUUAGAAACAGUGUUUGUA